RNA transcript from Loxodonta africana (African savanna elephant), 2451 nucleotides. It is a transcript of the gene named NUBP iron-sulfur cluster assembly factor 1, cytosolic, with no coding region annotated. The record is from RefSeq and is a predicted model, not a curated record. The transcript has 11 exons. Lineage: Eukaryota; Metazoa; Chordata; Mammalia; Proboscidea; Elephantidae.
UUGGCCGUCUCGGAACGGAAAUGCACACCGGCGAGUUCCGGUGACCGCCUCGGCGGCAAAGGCGACGGAAUGGAGGAGGUGCCUCACGACUGCCCCGGGACCGACAGCGCCGAGGCGGGCCGAGGGACCGCAUGUCAGGGGUGCCCCAACCAGCGGCUGUGUGCCUCUGGCGCCGGCGCCGCUCCGGACCCGGCCAUAGAGGAAAUUAAAGAGAAAAUGAAAACCGUGAAACACAAAAUCUUGGUGCUAUCUGGGAAAGGCGGCGUUGGGAAAAGCACAUUCAGUGCCCACCUCGCCCAUGGCCUGGCAGAGGAUGAAAACACACAGAUUGCUCUCCUAGACAUUGAUAUAUGUGGGCCAUCGAUUCCCAAGAUAAUGGGAUUGGAAGGAGAACAGGUUCAUCAGAGCGGCUCGGGCUGGUCUCUGGUGUACGUGGAAGACAACCUGGGGGUGAUGUCGGUUGGCUUCUUGCUCAGCAGUCCUGAUGACGCUGUUAUCUGGAGGGGACCGAAGAAAAACGGCAUGAUCAAGCAGUUCCUCCGGGAUGUGGACUGGGGGGAGAUUGACUACCUCAUCGUGGACACGCCGCCCGGGACCUCCGACGAGCACCUCUCGGUCGUUCAUUAUCUCUCAGCAGCACACAUUGACGGAGCUGUGGUAAUUACCACUCCCCAGGAAAUAUCACUCCAGGAUGUCCGGAAAGAAAUCAACUUCUGCCACAAGGUGAAGCUGCCUAUCAUCGGGGUGGUGGAGAACAUGAGUGGCUUCGUCUGCCCUAAGUGCAAGAAAGAAGCACAGAUCUUCCCUCCAACGACGGGGGGCGCAGAGGCCAUGUGCCAGGACCUGAAGAUCCCUCUCCUUGGCAGAGUGCCUCUGGAUCCUCAGAUAGGUAGGAAAGAGUUGUGACAAAGGACAGUCUUUUUUGACUGAAGCCCCGGAUUCACCAGCUACAUUAGCCUACAGAAGUAUAAUCCAAAGAAUCCAAGAGUUUUGUAGUCUGCAGCCUUCACACGAGGAGAAGCUCAUUGGUUCCUGAAAUGUGGAAAACAUGAAGGACGAAAGAGAGCACCAAGCUGAGGCGCUCAGCCAGCAGUACUCUCGGGGCAGAGUGGGGUCACAGGGGUACAGGGACCAGGCUCAGGCAUGGUUUGAAGUCACCUCUUCAGAGACACUUUAAUCUAAUUUUUGUACACUUUCCUUUAGAAUAUAUGUAAAGAGCAUUCUUGACAAAUCUGCCGUUUUAAAAAUAAAAAUUUCUCCUCCUCCAAAACUUCUCCAAGGCUUCCUUCACAUGAAAAACACACGGGAUUAUGGGAUUACGAAAUCUUCUUUGUUAGAAGUUAUUCAGUUAGCGAACCCUUCACUGAAGCCAUCUCUGCCCCUCAAGAGAAACCUAAAAAAGGACCAAAGGGAUAAACGUGUUGCUUAAUUGCAAAAUACACACUCACGUUUUCAAACAGCAUAGUCUAAAUAGUUACCCUUCAAAUUGAGCAAAGUUAAAAUGGCGGUAGAGCCUCAUGCCGGGGAUCAGUUCCGAGGUCAGCACAUACGAUGAAGAGAGGUGUCACCAAGAUGGCCCUUGAAAAGCUCUCAAAUUGCCCAUAUAGGACAGACUUUGUGGUUGUGUAUACACCCUGCAUAGUAUAUGUAUAUAAUCAAUCCAGUAAUUUCCUGUGUUUUUUUAUAACGUGCAGUAAGGAUUUAUAUUUUUUUAUAACGUGCGGUAAGAAACUGCGUCUGUAGUGAGUUGGCAUACAAAAUAGCGGAUGAUGGUUUUAAUCACAGAGGAGAGACAGACGUAAACCCUGGAAUCACCCUGCUGCCCUGAGCCCCACAGGAACUGAGAGCAGUGUGGGGGAGAGAGUGAAUUCCUGUUUUCCAUCUCUCUCCGGGGCACAGAAGCAGAAGGAUGAGAAAUCCCCUUGUUCUUUCCCACCCCUUCUUUUAUUCCCCCUCCCUUUCCACUCCUUUGUGCCUGCUACUAUGGUAGAAUUUGCACAAGUUCAACGGGAGGAAGCUAGGACCCCUGCGCCACAAUGGGUAAUGAUGGUGCAGAGCCCAGGGGAAGGAGGCCCGAUGCACAGUCCUUGGCCUGGCUAUGACUUCCGCCAUCUCAGGGAACUGGAGGAGGCCACCCCCAGGCCACCAGCCCAGCUGGGCCCAGGGACACUGCACUUCUCCCAAGCUCCCAGCCCUGGGCAGUCUAGACUGUGCCCUGACCUCCUCCUCACCUAAUGCUUGUGGAUUUCCAGUCUCUCAAGUACAGGCUUCUGGAAGUCACCUGGGCAGGCCUGCAAGAGGAAAAGUCACCAUGUUCCUGUGCCAACUGGCAGUAGGCAGGUUCUGCUGCGUCAGGGCAAGAGUAGACCUGCAGUGUCCACACAGCCUGCCAAGCUGGUGGCUGGGUAAGCUGGUCACUGAGUGCCCUGGCCUAAAGCAGUGCUCUUCAGA